This 1737-nucleotide ribosomal RNA is filed under the name Salmonella enterica. RNAcentral describes it as "bacterial LSU rRNA". It matches the Rfam family "Bacterial large subunit ribosomal RNA", at positions 1223 to 2925 of the family's 2925-position model. Lineage: Bacteria; Pseudomonadati; Pseudomonadota; Gammaproteobacteria; Enterobacterales; Enterobacteriaceae. The record is from RNAcentral. RNAcentral also lists the same sequence under 1 other name.
GUUGGGUAGGGGAGCGUUCUGUAAGCCUGUGAAGGUGUGUCGUGAGGCAUGCUGGAGGUAUCAGAAGUGCGAAUGCUGACAUAAGUAACGAUAAAGCGGGUGAAAAGCCCGCUCGCCGGAAGACCAAGGGUUCCUGUCCAACGUUAAUCGGGGCAGGGUGAGUCGACCCCUAAGGCGAGGCCGAAAGGCGUAGUCGAUGGGAAACGGGUUAAUAUUCCCGUACUUGGUGUUACUGCGAAGGGGGGACGGAGAAGGCUAUGUUGGCCGGGCGACGGUUGUCCCGGUUUAAGCGUGUAGGUGUGUGUUCCAGGUAAAUCCGGUUCACUUUAACACUGAGGCGUGACGACGAGGCACUACGGUGCUGAAGCAACAAAUGCCCUGCUUCCAGGAAAAGCCUCUAAGCAUCAGGUAACACGAAAUCGUACCCCAAACCGACACAGGUGGUCAGGUAGAGAAUACCAAGGCGCUUGAGAGAACUCGGGUGAAGGAACUAGGCAAAAUGGUGCCGUAACUUCGGGAGAAGGCACGCUGACACGUAGGUGAAGUGAUUUACUCAUGGAGCUGAAGUCAGUCGAAGAUACCAGCUGGCUGCAACUGUUUAUUAAAAACACAGCACUGUGCAAACACGAAAGUGGACGUAUACGGUGUGACGCCUGCCCGGUGCCGGAAGGUUAAUUGAUGGGGUCAGCGCAAGCGAAGCUCCUGAUCGAAGCCCCGGUAAACGGCGGCCGUAACUAUAACGGUCCUAAGGUAGCGAAAUUCCUUGUCGGGUAAGUUCCGACCUGCACGAAUGGCGUAAUGAUGGCCAGGCUGUCUCCACCCGAGACUCAGUGAAAUUGAACUCGCUGUGAAGAUGCAGUGUACCCGCGGCAAGACGGAAAGACCCCGUGAACCUUUACUAUAGCUUGACACUGAACAUUGAGCCUUGAUGUGUAGGAUAGGUGGGAGGCUUUGAAGUGUGGACGCCAGUCUGCAUGGAGCCGACCUUGAAAUACCACCCUUUAAUGUUUGAUGUUCUAACGUGGACCCGUAAUCCGGGUUGCGGACAGUGUCUGGUGGGUAGUUUGACUGGGGCGGUCUCCUCCUAAAGAGUAACGGAGGAGCACGAAGGUUGGCUAAUCCUGGUCGGACAUCAGGAGGUUAGUGCAAUGGCAUAAGCCAGCUUGACUGCGAGCGUGACGGCGCGAGCAGGUGCGAAAGCAGGUCAUAGUGAUCCGGUGGUUCUGAAUGGAAGGGCCAUCGCUCAACGGAUAAAAGGUACUCCGGGGAUAACAGGCUGAUACCGCCCAAGAGUUCAUAUCGACGGCGGUGUUUGGCACCUCGAUGUCGGCUCAUCACAUCCUGGGGCUGAAGUAGGUCCCAAGGGUAUGGCUGUUCGCCAUUUAAAGUGGUACGCGAGCUGGGUUUAGAACGUCGUGAGACAGUUCGGUCCCUAUCUGCCGUGGGCGCUGGAGAACUGAGGGGGGCUGCUCCUAGUACGAGAGGACCGGAGUGGACGCAUCACUGGUGUUCGGGUUGUCAUGCCAAUGGCACUGCCCGGUAGCUAAAUGCGGAAGAGAUAAGUGCUGAAAGCAUCUAAGCACGAAACUUGCCCCGAGAUGAGUUCUCCCUGAGACUUAGAGUCUCCUGAAGGAACGUUGAAGACGACGACGUUGAUAGGCCGGGUGUGUAAGCGCAGCGAUGCGUUGAGCUAACCGGUACUAAUGAACCGUGAGGCUUAACCUUACAACGCCGAAG